Molecule: ribosomal RNA, 301 nt
Filed under: uncultured bacterium
Lineage: Bacteria
Description: partial 16S ribosomal RNA
Rfam family: Bacterial small subunit ribosomal RNA
Source: RNAcentral
CAGUAGCCGCGGGAAUACGGAGGGAGCUAGCGUUGUUCGGAAUCACUGGGCGUAAAGCACACGUAGGCGGCUAUUCAAGUCAGGGGUGAAAGCCCGGGGCUCAACCCCGGAACUGCCUUUGAAACUAGAUAGCUUGAAUCUUGGAGAGGCGAGUGGAAUUCCGAGUGUAGAGGUGAAAUUCGUAGAUAUUCGGAAGAACACCAGUGGCGAAGGCGACUCGCUGGACAAGUAUUGACGCUGAGGUGCGAAAGCGUGGGGAGCAAACAGGAUUAGAUACCCGAGUAGUCCCUGUCUCUUAUAC